Molecule: ribosomal RNA, 450 nt
Filed under: uncultured bacterium
Lineage: Bacteria
Description: partial 16S ribosomal RNA
Rfam family: Bacterial small subunit ribosomal RNA
Source: RNAcentral
CCUACGGGUGGCUGCAGUGGGGAAUUUUGGACAAUGGGCGCAAGCCUGAUCCAGCCAUUCCGCGUGAGUGAAGAAGGCCUUCGGGUUGUAAAGCUCUUUCGCAAGGGAAGAAAACUUAUCCUCUAACAUAGGAUGAGGUUGACGGUACCUUGAUAAGAAGCACCGGCUAACUACGUGCCAGCAGCCGCGGUAAUACGUAGCGUGAUAGCGUUGAUCGGAAUUACUGCACGUAAAGCUGUAGGUCGCUGGUGAAAUCCCCGAGCUCAACUUGGGAACUGCGUUUGAAACUACAAGACUAGAAUAGGUCAGAGGGGGGUAGAAUUCCACGUGUAGCAGUGAAAUGCGUAGAGAUGUGGAGGAAUAUCAAUGGCGAAGGCAGCCCCCUGGGAUCAUAUUGACGCUCAUGCACGAAAGCGUGGGGAGCAAACAGGAUUAGAUACCCGAGUAGUC